AACGAACGCUGGCGGCGUGCCUAACACAUGCAAGUCGAACGAGAUCUUCGGGUCUAGUGGCGCACGGGUGCGUAACGCAUGGGAAUCUGCCCUUUGGUUCGGAAUAACAGUUGGAAACGACUGCUAAUACCGGAUGAUGACGAGAGUCCAAAGAUUUAUCGCCAGAGGAUGAGCCCGCGUAGGAUUAGCUAGUUGGUGUGGUAAAGGCGCACCAAGGCGACGAUCCUUAGCUGGUCUGAGAGGAUGAUCAGCCACACUGGGACUGAGACACGGCCCAGACUCCUACGGGAGGCAGCAGUGGGGAAUAUUGGACAAUGGGCGAAAGCCUGAUCCAGCAAUGCCGCGUGAGUGAUGAAGGCCUUAGGGUUGUAAAGCUCUUUUACCCGGGAUGAUAAUGACAGUACCGGGAGAAUAAGCUCCGGCUAACUCCGUGCCAGCCGCCGCCGUAA
RNAcentral lists this ribosomal RNA (449 nucleotides) under uncultured bacterium. RNAcentral's name for it is "partial 16S ribosomal RNA". It matches the Rfam family "Bacterial small subunit ribosomal RNA", at positions 29 to 523 of the family's 1533-position model. The record is from RNAcentral.